UGCCUUGUCUUUAAUGUCUAUUAGUAUCC
This 29-nucleotide non-coding RNA is filed under the name Rattus norvegicus (Norway rat). The record is from RNAcentral. Lineage: Eukaryota; Metazoa; Chordata; Mammalia; Rodentia; Muridae.